This is a long non-coding RNA of Homo sapiens (human), 2692 nucleotides long. RefSeq lists it as uncharacterized. The record is from RefSeq and is a predicted model, not a curated record. The transcript has 3 exons. NCBI's taxonomy places the organism in Eukaryota, Metazoa, Chordata, Mammalia, Primates, Hominidae.
UUCCCCUCCUAUCUUCCCUAGAAUUUUCUUUUGUUUGAAACCGCAACCUCAGUUUUUUAAAAUUCCAUGAAUGAAAAACCAUGAAUAUUUUAGAAAACAUUCAGGUUAUAGAAGUGGCCACAUUUGUUGAUUUCUUAAAUAAAGCUGAAGUUCUCUGUCCGUUGCUAUAUGGUAAGCCCUAGGGCUCAAUUCAGAUAAGUGUACUGUGUUUCACUGCCAAAAAAAACAUCCGUUUUCUUCUACAGUCACCAUAAACCAACAACCCUAGAAAAACCUGCUUUGUUGUCCUGAAGGAGCUGUUAUUGUUCAGAAUAUUUUACAUGUGAAUUUCUGCUCCAGCUGGCUGGGGACCAUCAUGACAAGGGAAUGUGAUCAAGAAGACAAACACAUAGAUAUCAUGAAGAAAAGAAAACGGAAGAUACCAAUAUACUUUAUUCUGAGCCAAGGCAAAGUCCAUCUGACAACAGCAGAUUGGACAAUAACUGAAAAUGUAGUCUGUAAGGAAGCUUAAUAAUAAGAUAUACAUCUCUUUAUAUUUCACUAAAUGGCUAAAGAAUGCGGAAAACUUAUGUUUAUACAAAAACCAGCAGACUGACAUUUAUAGCAGCUUUAUCCAUAACUGUCAACAUUUGGAAGCAACCAAGAUGUCCUUUAGCAGGUGAAUUGAUAAAUAAAACUGUGGCACAUCCAGACAAGGGAAUAUUAUUCAGCACUAAAAAUAAAGGAGCUAUCAAGCCAGGAAAAAACAAGGAGGAAACUCACAUGCAUAUUGCUAAGUAAAAGAAGCCAGCCUGGAAAAGCUGCAUACUGUAUGAUUCCAACUCUGUGACAUUCUGGAAAAGUAAAACCCUGGAGGCAGUAAAGAGAUCAGUGGUUGCCAGAAGUUAGGAGGAAAGGAGGGAUGAAUAGGCAGGGCACAGAGGAUUUUUAGGGCAGUGAAACUACUCUGUGUGGUCCUGUAAUGGUGGUUUAAUGUCAUUAUGCAUUUGGCCACACCCAUAGAAUGUACACCACCAAGAGUGAACUCUAAUGUAAACUGUGGACUUUGGGUGAUAAUGAUGUGUCAGUGUGGGUUCAAUUGUAACAAAUGUGCCACUCUGGUGGGGGAUGGUGAUAAUGCGGAGCUGUGCACGUGGGGUGGGCAGGGGCAUGCGGGAAAUCUCUGUCCCUUCCUCUCAAUUUUGCAGUAAACUUUAAAGCUCUUAAAAAGUAAGUAUUUUUUAAACAAGAAAGAAACAAGGUGAACUAAAUGUACAGCUAGAUCUAACAUAAGGAAAUAAGAAUUGCUAUUAAUUUACAUAUAUUAACUAAUUAAUUGUGAACCUUUUUAAAAUACCAUUGUGAACUGUAAUGUAUUUUAUAUUCAAAUGAAUCCUCAGCCUUCUUCAUUGUAAAUAUUAGCUGAACAAAUGAGUAAAUAAAAAUCGACUUCAUAGAAAAUCAAGUGAGUCCGGUCAUAGCCAGAUAACAGUGUUUAACCCACAAAAGAUAUGCAAUUGUUCUUUAAAACAGUAAGAGGAUUAAUACAAAAUUAUUAAAGUUUAUAUUAAAGACAUAAAUGUAAUCUUUACAAAUAAUUUUCUUAUGGAUAAAUUAUGCUUACUGUAGUUAUUAGCCGGAACUUGCAAUAAUCUCCAUAUUAAGACAACCAAGACAACAAUUAGUUUGUUUUAAGGCACCUGCCAACUUAUAUACUAGAAAAUAAAAGUUUUCCAAGUGAAAAAACAGCUUUGCUCAGAAUUUAAAACACUCUACUGGAUAGCCUGCUUAACAGCACUAGGAAAACAAAAAUUCUAUGCAUCAAAAGAUGAAUGAAAAGAGAAACAAUAAACCAGGAUGAAGAUACAUACAAACCCAAUGGCUUCAUAUCUAGAAUACAUAAAGAACUCCCACAAAUCAAUAAGAAAAAGAGAAGCAGCCCAAUAGAAAAAUGGCAAAGUAUGUGAACACAGAAUCUAUGAAAGAGAAAAUUCAAAUACUCCAAAACAUUUUUAAAUAUGUUCAACCUCUGGCUGGGCACAGUGGCUCACGCCUAUAAUCCCAGCAAUUUGGGAGGCUAAGGCAAGUGGCUCUCUUGAGGCCAGCCUGGACAACAUGGCAAAACCCUGUCUCUGCUAAAAACACAAAAAUUAGCUGGGUGUGGUGGCACAUGCCUGUAAUCCCAGCUACUCAGGAGGCUGAGGCACAAGAAUCACUUAAGCAUGGGAGACCAAGGUUGCAGUGAGCUGAGAUCACACCACUGCACUCCAGCCUGGGCAACAGAGCAAGGCUUUGUCUCAAAAAAAAAAGUUUAACCUCAAAAUACUUACAGAGAUGCAAAUAAAACCAUUAGAUUUCAUACUUAUCAAAUUCAUUAAAGUUUUCCAAUUCUGGCAACACAUUAUUUUGGCAAGUAUAUGAAGUAACACAGCUGAUGGAACUAUAAACUUGUACAAUCGAUUUGGAGAAAAUUUGGGAAUAUAUAUAUAUAUAUAUAUAUCAGAUUUGAAACUACUCACAGCCUAUGACUCAGCAAUUCCAAACCUGAAGAAACUCCUGUCCACAUGCCCAAGAAGAUCUCUUUAAGAAUGUUCACAGCAUUAUUUAUUUCUAAAUAAUACAAAACUGAAAAUGUUACACAUGCUCCUUCAAGAAUAAAAUGUGUAAGCAAACUGUGAUGUAUUCAUAAAUAAAAAUAGUUAAAACAUGCAAA